UGCGUAGGGGGCAAGCGUUGUCCGGAUUUAUUGGGCGUAAAGCGCGUGUAGGCGGCCAGAUAGGUCUGCUGUGAAAACUCGAGGCUCAACCUCGAGCUGUCGGCGGAAACCAUCUGGCUAGAGUCCGGAAGAGGAGAGUGGAAUUCCUGGUGUAGCGGUGAAAUGCGCAGAUAUCAGGAAGAACACCUAUGGCGAAGGCAGCUCUCUGGGACGGUACUGACGCUGAGACGCGAAAGCGUGGGGAGCGAACAGG
This 253-nucleotide ribosomal RNA is filed under the name uncultured bacterium. RNAcentral's name for it is "partial 16S ribosomal RNA". It matches the Rfam family "Bacterial small subunit ribosomal RNA", at positions 524 to 776 of the family's 1533-position model. The record is from RNAcentral.